RNAcentral lists this long non-coding RNA (287 nucleotides) under Panax ginseng (ginseng). RNAcentral's name for it is "long non-coding RNA (PGIN_LNC008803)". Lineage: Eukaryota; Viridiplantae; Streptophyta; Magnoliopsida; Apiales; Araliaceae. The record is from RNAcentral.
CAGAUUCUGAGGUGUAGAUGCUUUGACUUCUCUGAGGACAAAAUCUCCUACUUCAAAUCUGCGAAGCUUUACCCCCCUAUUAUAAUGCUUAGCCACUCUUCGCUGAUAGGCUGCCAAUUUGAUUAAGGCUGUUUCUCUGACUUCUUCAAGCAAAUCAAGAUUGGCCUUCAGCCCUUCUUCAUUGUAGAUCUCUCUGAAUUGACUAACUCGAAGACUUGGAGAUCCAAUUUCAACUAGGACUAAAGCAUCAGUGCCAUAGGCCAAUCUGAAAGGUGAAUCCCCUGUCG